UAAUGGAAAACCAGUCGAUCCGAGUAGGUACUAAUGGAAAAGGGGAUAUAGUCUGUUCCCUUGUAUCCUGGUUGUCUUGGUCUCGUCUGUGUUCUCCCCAGCCCAUCAUGUCUCCCACGCUCUCUCGCUAUCCCUCACUCUCUGUCUCUGUGUUCUGUUUCCUGUUUUAUUUUGGUAGUCCUUGUCUAAAGUGCAUUGGGUUCAGUUUUGUUUCCCUGGUCUCGUUAUCUUUAAAUUGGUCCUCCUGUGUUCUCACCUGUUUUCCAGCUUCUCGUUAUCCUGUGUGUGUAUUUAAGUCCUCAGUCUCACUUUGCUCGUUGUCACGUUGUCACUGUUAGCUGUGCUUCCCUCAUAGUACAGGACCUCAUAUAGGUAUUUAUAUGGGAACAUAUAAUAUACACACACACACACACACACUUCUAACUAACCACCCUGAGAGAUAAGCUCCAUAACUGCCUAUAUUUUUUGCUUUUUUGGUGUCGCAAUAAUCUGUUUACAAUCUCCUUGCAAGCUCGUCCUCAGAAUCACCUCAGAUUCAAUUCAUGCAAUAAACUUAUUUCGGUCACAUCACUUCAGAGAAACGGGGGCCUCUACACGAGCUUCAUGUAACAUCAUUAGGUCGUGCCAUGCCUGCCACACAGCAGGAUAUGACAGAAUGACGCGACCACACCAUGGACCCAGUGGACGCAACUCGGCAUUCAGGACUGAGCUGCUUUCUUUGCUGCAAAGCAAACAUCCAUUGAGACCGUUUCUCAUGCUGCUAAACUGGUUCCCCCAAAGACUAAAAAUCUGCCCAGGGCCUUCCCAGAGACUGCGUUCGAGGGCUCAGCCAACUCUGGAGGCUGCUCUAAUUUAAAGACAUUGGGGGUCCAGUGUCAGCUGGGUGCCCAGCCGAGCUGACCAAGCCUCUAGUGGCCCCGCACCUCUGCUUGCCGCAGCUCCCAGGCCGCCGCCUGAGUCGGAGGGAGCAGCGACAGCCUGCACUGUCUGGUCCUGCUCUGAAAGGGGUCUACACUCUGCCAUCUGGUCGUGCUCUGCCUGCGUCAGUGGUCACUGCACCUCCUGACCCUGCUUGGUCUGGACCUACUCUGCCCAAGGGUCUCCAUCUCACUGCCGUCAGCCUCCAGCCAAGCCGCCCGUGGAUCGCUGUCUCACCUGAUGUUGGCCUCUAGCCAAGCCAAUGGAGGGUCUCCGUCUCCACUGCCAUCAGCUUGCAGCGGAAAUGCCCGAUGGUCUCCAUCUCCACCAACAUCGGCCUCCAGCCAAGCUGCCUAAAGAUCUCCGUCUCUGGCAACGAAGACGCGACCCUUCAGGAGGCUGUGGAGACAGCCUCCAACCCCGUCACCAGAGGAUUGUUGAUGCCGCCUUCAGUCUCCAGUGCUGUCGCCUAAGGGUCUUCUUCAUCUCUGUCAACCUCCACCCACUCUGCCUCCACUGUGGGUGGCCUCCUGAUCUGCUCUGCUUCACCCAUCGGUCACAUGGUCACCCUCCAGAACUGAUCCAUGCCGCUGGGGAGCCCAACAAGAAUCCCAAAGGGCGUGUGGCUCAACGUGAUGAUUCUGACCGCAAUUCUUUUAAAAAAGUUUUUCUUUUACUUUUAAAAAGAACUUUGCGAUUUAUCUGUGAUGUCUUAUGUCAUAUUUUUUAUGUCUUGCUAACUGUUGCUAGAGAUGAUGAAAAUAUCUCUGCCGUUGUUACUUUCCUAUAUUUCUGUUGUUUCUGGUUGUUUUAAAAAAAAAUUGAGAAUAGCAACACUGAUUUAUUUUCACAUUUUGCUUUACUGUUGUAAAAUGAAAAAUAGUCUAGCAUUAAUUAUCCAAAAUGUCCCUGAUAGAAUUAAAUGAAUAGAAAUACAAACUUUUUUUGUUCCUAAUUAAGCUUAAUACAUGUCUCUAUCUGUGAAAGCAGAAGAGGAACAGAUGCAGAAUUAGCAGUAGCUGUUCUUUUUCGACAGACAUUUCCUGCAAUAACUGUUCAAAGAGCCUCUUCUCUGUCGUUGGUACAUAAUAUGUGUUAAAAUUCAACAUUUGUCCCUCAUAUCCAUGAGGCUUGAGCUACAGUCAUUUGCAUUGCUUGCAAUGUCAAUAAUGUGGUCCACCCACCAGCUAUGAAUAAAUUUACCUACCCAAACUGGCUCAUUAUAAAAUCAAGGACACCAAGUAGACGCAGUAUUGCACAUGUAGCCGCUAUGUGGCUGUUAGCUGACCUGGUGCCUUUGAGCUGACUGCACUCAUAUUCCACAGGCAUCCCGGAUGAACCCUUUGAUCAUAUGAUCUCUUCUAUGGAAUAUUAGCCAGCUCACCCUGAGGCAUAUAGUUUUAAAUCUAAGAUUGGAUCACCUCCUACAGCUUGUGCACAGCAGAGUGGGCAGAAGCUGCUGAUUGCUGCUUGUCGUUGUCUUUGUUGGCAUAGGGUAGAAAAAUUGCAAUGUGCAAAAAGUUAAAGAAAAUGAGAAGCCGGUGUCAUCUAACAGCAGCUGAUCUAUCCUAAAUCCAGCACAAUCAUAGCUUAACAGCAGAUGUUCCUGGAGGUAUUAAAGAAUAGAUGGACAAAAUACAACGGAGUCUGGCAUUUAUUAUCACUUUUAAUGUUGUGAAGACAUAGGAAUGUGUGCUGCUUGUGAAGUAGUUUACUCAAGACUUAAUGUCUGAUUGCUCUAAAUAGGCUUUCUAUUGG
This is a long non-coding RNA of Oreochromis niloticus (Nile tilapia), 2676 nucleotides long. RefSeq lists it as uncharacterized. NCBI's taxonomy places the organism in Eukaryota, Metazoa, Chordata, Actinopteri, Cichliformes, Cichlidae. The transcript is spliced from 2 exons. The record is from RefSeq and is a predicted model, not a curated record.